AUUGAACGCUGGCGGCAGGCCUAACACAUGCAAGUCGAACGAGUGGCGGACGGGUGAGUAAUGUCUGGGAAACUGCCCGAUGGAGGGGGAUAACUACUGGAAACGGUAGCUAAUACCGCAUACCAUCGGAUGUGCCCAGAUGGGAUUAGCUAGUAGGUGGGGUAAGGGCCCACCUAGGCGACGAUCCCUAGUCGGUCUGAGAGGAUGACCAGCCAAACUGGAACGUAGACACGGGCCAGACUCCUACGGGAGGCAGCAGUGGGGAAUAUUGCACAAUGGGCGCAAGCCUGAUGCAGCCAUGCCGCGUGUAUGAAGAAGGCCUUCGGGUUGUAAAGUACUUUCAGCGGGGAGGCGUUACCCGCAGAAGAAGCACCGGCUAACUCCGUGCCAGCAGCCGCGGUAAUUC
Molecule: ribosomal RNA, 406 nt
Filed under: uncultured bacterium
Lineage: Bacteria
Description: partial 16S ribosomal RNA
Rfam family: Bacterial small subunit ribosomal RNA
Source: RNAcentral